CGCCCGUAAUCGCGCUGGGGGUCUUCCUCCUCGUCGUCUCCAUCGCGGGGCUCGUCGGCGCCUGCUGCCGCGUCACCUGGCUGCUCUGGGUCUACCUCCUCGCUAUGUUCGUCCUCAUCGUCGCCCUCUUCUGCUUCACCGUCUUCGCCUUCGUCGUCACCAACCGGGGCGCCGGGGAGGCCGUGUCGGGCCGGGGGUACAAGGAGUACAGGCUUGGGGACUACUCCAACUGGCUGCAGAAGCGGGUGGAGAACCACAAGAACUGGAACAGGAUCAGGAGCUGCCUCCAGGGCUCCAAGGUCUGCAAGAACCUGCAGGACAAGAAGGAGUCGGUCACCGACUUCAUGCGUUCCGACCUCUCCCCGAUCGAGGUACUUGCUUAAUUACGUGAAAAAUGCAUUUUUCUUCCCUUAAUCUUCAGUCUCAGUUUUUUUUUGACAAAUCACCAAGACAGAUUCUAAAACAAACUCUAUCUAUCUGUAGCCGGCGUUUUGUCUUACAGAAAAAGAACACUUCUUUUUCAUUCACGUGUCAUUCAUACUUUAGUGGUCGCGAAUUGCGAUGUGACUUUGGGAGGAUAGUAGUAAUGCCAAAAGACUUUGAAGAAACGGUAGCUUGUGAAACGCAAAACCUUAUCUUAGGCCCGGCUGAUGGUUACUUGUACGGUUGUGCAUCUCGAUCAGACGUACACAAUUUGGAAUUCUGUCUAAAAAUGCAUUGGGCUUAGCGUUGAUAUUGUCAACGGAUUACUCCUAUUUUAUAGUGACAUAUCUUCGGUCCAUAUCAACCUUUACUACCUGCUCUGAAGUCUGAACUGCUCCCGAUGCUCUGACCGCUGCAUUAUUGAAGGAAGAAUUUUCGUUCAUCGCACAUGCUUUCAUUUCAACGCUCUGGUGCACUUGCACUCAACUUUUAGGUCGCGUAACCCAAUCGUUUCACGAAACGGCUCCACCUGAAACUAUCAUAAACAACUGAAACUGUUUUAUUUACUUGUAGUAUUUACCUAAACAACGUCAUGUGAUGUUGAAAGUUCCCAGUCAUGAGUAUUGAGUAGUAGCCCUGCAUAUGUGCUGCUCUGUUUCAAAGGCUCAUCGCUGUUCUUGUUGCUCGUGCAGUCUGGGUGCUGCAAGCCCCCCACCAGCUGCGGCUUCACCUACGUCAGCGGCACGGACUGGACCAAGACCACCGCCACCAACUCGUCGUCGGACCCGGACUGCAACACCUGGAGCAACGAUGCGCUCUGCUACGACUGCCAGUCGUGCAAGGCCGGCGUGGUGGCCACCGUCAAGCGGGACUGGAAGCGCACCGCCAUCGUCUGCAUCGUCUUCCUCGUCUUCAUCAUCAUCGUCUACUCCAUCGGAUGCUGCGCUUUCAGGAAUAACCGCAGGGACAACGCCUACCACGGCGGCUGGAAGGGCGGGUACGCCUGAUCUGGUCGAUCCACCGUCGUUUCGGAGCCUAGCAGACGAGAUCCGCUGCUCGAUUGGUCGAGCGUGCCAGCUCAGUGCUCUGCUCUCGCUGUCCUGCGGUCGCUUUCGUCCUAUAUGUUUAGGCUUCAUCUAGCUCUGUACAGUCGAGAUUGUUACAGCUUCUUAUCGUCUGCUAGUCACUUUGUUAUGAUCUGAUCACUGGUCAGCAGUAGGUUUUGUACAUGCUGUUCGUUGAUUUUGAUAUACUGCUCUAUAUUCGUAUGUGGAUGCCUUUAUUCUACAUGUUACUUUGGUGAAGGCUUUUCGGUUUUCCACUUUCUUUCCAAAACUUCUUCGCUUGACACGAAACAACGAGAUCUUUGCUUGACACGGCAGAGGAUUAGCUAGUCCCAUUUUUUUAAGAGAGAGAGAGAGGAUUAGCUAGCUAAUUUCUACUCUUUCCAGCGAUCUCUGUCAAUCUUUACUCUGUUUUCUUGCCAUGAUAUCACCAACCUGAAGUUGUUGAGCUAAUCACCAUUUCGGACGGGUUGCACAAAACUAUUGCACUUAUCCCCGUCCUGCACUGCACACAAAGUAGCACACGGUUCUGCUACUGACCGUCCCCGAUGAAGUAAUCCAAGAAAGGGUGGGAGACGAAGGCUCCAAGUCUUGAGCCAUGACGAAGCGAUAGGAAAGCUGUGGUGCCCCAUGAGAGGCAAGUCCAGCCUAACGUGCCGUCUGAAAAUAUCCACCCCUUCCCACUUUCACUGCCCAGGUUCCGAAAACAACUCCGGGCACCACCAUCUUGCUUUAUCGUCUUCGGUGUACGAUUCUUUCCUAUCAACCUAAUGGCCAUGCUUAACACGGGACUAUGUCCUUGGCAUCUUCCUUGUCAGAUGAGAAAUAUCUUAGCGAUGGCAGCAGAUAUUAGACAGUGAUGGAUCGAUGGAUGGUCCAGCCAAAGAAGGCUCGGCAGAUUGUUACGGGCACCAAUAUCAGGUUCCAAAAGGAUGCUAAAACUUGAAUGGAUCGAGAAAGGUGUAACUUCAGUGGAGUCCAUGAGCACAUGGGCUGAUGAUUUGAUGUAGGCACAAAUGUGUAAAUCGGUAAAUGCGCUUGCUGUUCCUAGUGGAGUUACUGGUUCCAGAAGUGGUGGUGACUAUUGCUGGUUCGCCUGGAAAUAUCCAAGGGGACUGACUGGGGCCAGCGGCUUGGUCCUUUCAGAGAAUGAAGUGAUAGAGCCGGCAUUAUAUUGCUCGAUGGACUAUUUCACUAGAAAAUGCUCUAUGAAAUGAAUUUGAGAGGAACUUUGCCCACCCAAAUUUCUUAUUUUGUUUUUCCUUGCAAUACUCUUCUAUAAGUAUUUGUAAACUAGAGAAGACUUGCAGGUUGUGCAUUGGACUGUUACCGCAACAGGGCAGCUAGAUAGCUUAAAGCCUUAAACAUAGCUAAUUUUCAAUCGCUUUUCAAAGGUUAUAUGUUAACGUGAAACAUUCAACUACCAUUAGUACAACUUAAACACGACAUUCUCCAGUGUAUUAUAAAAAAACCCAGCAUGUUUGAGUAUUUUCAUUGAUCGCGUUCUUAGAUAACAACGGUUCAGAAAGGUUAGUUUGUACUGUGUGAUUCGGCAUAAAAAAAAGAUUAGUUUGGCACUCUAAUCUUACACAAACAAUCUGCAUUUUAGGUCCAUUUACGUUUGGAGUUGCUAGAAUUGGUAGUCAUUAUAUUGCUUUUUUCCAUCUCAGCUUUACAUAACGGCACGGCAUACAAAUCCGACAAUUGAGGCCAAUGAUUCGAUUUCUCAGAAAAUAAAGUGAGAGAUGUGGCAUUAUAUUGUUUGACGGAACAUUCUCUAGGAAAUGUUCUAUGACACCAUUAUUUUUUUUUAAAAAAAAUCUUGCCAACACAUGAUGCUUUGCCUUUUUGUACUGCAAUACUCUUCCAAAAAUCAUGAUUAGCUAGAAGAAGACUUGCAGGUUGUGCAUUGGACUAUUUUUGGUAAUAGGAUAGUUGAAUAGUAUGGAAGCAGAUCAUUUUUAAUUCCUUUGGAAAGCUUGACACUAGCAUGAAACAUUGCAACUAUCGCUAGCAUGCCUAAAAUGAAAUGCAGUUCUCCAGUCUAUUCUUGAAAAAUAAAAUUAGUAUUAUGCAGAUAGAAAAGGAUAAAGAAAAAGAAAAUCAGCAUGUCUGAGUAUUAGCAUUACCAUUGUCAGAAACAGCGAGUCUGAAAGAUGGUAAAACUUGAAUGAACUGAGAAUGGUGUAACUUCAAUGGAAUCCAUGAGCACAUGGGCUGAUGACUUGAUUAGGCCCACAUAUGUUAAUCAGUAAACGCGAUUGCUGUUACUAGUGGAGUUACUGACUCCAGAAGUGGUGGUGACUGUUGCUGGUUCGCUUGGAAAUAUCCAAGGUGACUGGGACGGGACCGACGGUUUGGUCUUUUCAGAAAUGAAGUGACAGAGCUGGCAUUAUAUUGCUCGAUGGAAUAUUUCACUAGAAAAUGCUCUAUGACAUCAGUUUGAGAGGAACUUUACCUGCACAAAAGUUUUCUUUUGUGUUCGCUUUGCCAUACUUUUCUACUAUUAUUGUAAACUAGAAAGGCCUGUAGUAGAAGGUUGUGCAUUGGACUGUUUCAGCAACAGGCCAGCUAGGUAGCUUAAGCAUAGCCAAUUGUCAAUCCUUUUUUCUUUUUUGAGGAAGCCAAUUGUCAAUUCUUCCUAAGAUUAGCGACUACUAGUAUACACCUACCUUUAGUAUGCCCAAAAGGAUACACUGCUCAGCAUAUUAGUGUGUCUGAAACAAUACACAUGAAACAUUUAGCGACUACUAGCAUGUCUGAAUAUUUCCAUUGAUCAGCGUUCAGAUAAUAAUGGUUCUGAAAUCUUUUGUGGUGUUGCACUCUACUCUUACACAGAUAUAACAUGCAUCUUCGAUUCGUUGGUGUUUGCAGUGACUAGAAGCGAGUCUGUCCCCUCACACUUUGCAUCAUCUGCUUUGCUAACAGCAUGGCAUACGAUCUGAGAAAUGAGACGAAUUUGUUUGAUUUUUUUGGAAAGCGAAGCGAGGGGACCGGCACUAUAUUGUUUGAUGGAACGUUCCACUAGGAAAUGUUCUAUGACGUCAAUAUUUAAAAAAACUUUGCCAAGAAACAAUGCUUUGUUUUUAAAAUACUGAAAUUACUCUUGAAAAGUCAUUAUUAACUAGGGAAGACUUGCAACCUUGCAGGUGAUGCCUUGGACCAUUUUUGGUAAAUGAAAAUAUACCUCAAAUCUUAAUUCCUUUGGAAAGCUUUACACUGACAUGAAACAUCGCAACUAUCGCUAGCAUAUCUAAAAUGAUAUGCCGUUCUCCGGUGUAUCUUGAAGAAUAGAAUUAGCCUUACGUGAAAAGAAAAAAAAAGGAAAAAUGUACUCAACGUGUCUGAUUAUUACUAUUACCGUUGUCAGGCUCAGGCAACAAUGGUUCUGAAAGAUUGGUCCGAGGCUCUAUCGAAACACCGAUACAGUCUGAAUCUACACCUCCUUUGGAACCACUAGAAUGGAUUGCCAGACUCUCGCUCUUCGCGUCAUCUGCUUUGCCCCACAGCACCACAUACAAGCCGACAAUGAUAGUGAUAGCUCCUAAUACGCUGCACGAAACAAAGUUCACUGUGAAGACGCACAAGAACAGCGAUUAUCUACUUUCCAAACAGGGUGCUAGUAUCAGAAUGAAGCAUACCUUCCAAUAUGGAGUUCUUCAUGCAGGAAGAGUGUAGAUAACAUUGCUGUGAUCACUGCACUCAGGGGCGUAAAGAUUGCGCUGUAAAGGGGGCCUUUCACUGAUAUGCACCAGGAUUGGAUGAAAAAGUUUGCGCCGGAGGCAAAUACUCCCUGCAAAAAUUGUUCGAUAAUUUCGAUUGAUGAGUAGCAAUUCAAAGUUUCAAACCAGUGUGUAGACGAACGAUCAAGAAUGGAUUCGGCUGAACUUACUCCAUAUAAGAUGCAGGGGAACUCCCAGAACGAGGUGAGCUUCCAAAUUUGCAAGUAGUUUGGCUCCAGGAAGAAGGCCAUCACCGCGCACUGCAAGGUCGCUAAAAAGCACAUCCAGGUCGCCAGAGACAGGGGAUCAAGGUACUUUUUGCAGACGGGCACCUGAAACCACACCAUCACUUGAUCAGUCACCUUAAACCCCAGCAAUAGCGCGUUGAAUCUUGCCGAUGCAGGGCGAUUGCAAGCAUCGCUGCAAUUAGUUACCUGGAAGAUGUACCAGAUGGCGACGCAGACAGCAUUUCCGACGAGAUAAACCCCUCCUUUCACCCAGUCGCUAGUCGGCGAGCGAAGAACCGCGCCGAGGAGCUUGGGACCCUUGAAGAACGCCAUGAACAUUGCUCCAGCGAGGCAGAUGGCGGUGCCGACGAUCUUGGCGACGUUUCUCAGGUUUCUGAUAUCCACCUUCUCUAACCUGUGAGCCGAAUCGAAGGCGGGAGUAAGAAUUUGGGCCGCUGCUGCCUGCUGGGCGAGGUCUAAUUUAGAAUUUCUAAAUGGGCUGUUCUUGACGACAUUUAUUAAUUGGAGGUCUCUUGGCCCACGAAACAAAUAAGCCCAUAUGAAAGAAUUUAGCCUAGCCCAGUAGUCCCCCAAAACGCGAAGUGGUGAGCCCAACUUUCCGCUCAGAAAAGGGAAAAACAAAAAUAAAAUAGAAAGGAAGAAAAAACUGUACACGUACCCGAUGACGGCGGCGAUGGCGAAGGUGAUGCCGGGGGCGAGGUUGGUGGUGGCCCUGGCCAUGGACGGAGACGCCAGGAGCAGCCCCUCGAGGUAGAAGUACUGCCCAGUCGCGCUGUCCGAUCGAGUCAGAGAGAGUGAACCCAAAUUGUACUUAUCUGGCCGGAGAGAACAGGGGAGGACGAGGAGCUUUGGUUUUGCGUACUGACGUGGCUAGGGAUGCCGCGAAGAUGAGCCCGAAGGCCCGCGCGCCGACGGCCAUGGGCCGCAGCGUGCAGCCCCUGGCGGCGAAGGAGGCGAGGAGGAGCGUGGCAGCGGCGAUCCCCUGGCGGUAGGUGACGAAGACGAUGGGCCGCAUCCCCACCCGGGACGCCGUCUUGAGCGCCACGUCCACCAGCGCGUAGAACAGCUGCACCAGCACCAUCCCCACGCUCGGUCCGUAACGCUCCAGCCACGGACCGCCGCCCGCCAUGGCUGGCGAGAUCGAGGGAGAGAGGUGGGAGCGAGAUUAUUGGGGCCUCACUUCGCCAGCUAUGUAGGAGCAUCCAUGUGCGCGCGCCGGCCGGGCGCCGAGCUGAGUCAGCUGCGCCGUCAUCACUCUCUGCGUUUUUGUUUAUGGUUUGGGCGAUUGUUUUCCGUGGUCAACUCAAACCAAUCCUUUGAGAUAGAAGAAUUCGUGGUUAUGCAAAUUAAGUAACUUAUCGAGAUGCAGUUCUAUAUGCAUGUACGGGCCAUGCCCUGCUGGAUCUCAUCAUGAAAUUACUUCCCGUCUUCGUCGCACAUGAUUGCUAAGCAAACUUGCUCGAUUUCUCUUCUUCUACUUGGAUCCCGUCACCAUUUUGCAGGUAGCAUCUCCACCACAUGUGCGCACAGUGUACCUGUCGCGCAUCAACCCUUCAGUUUAUUGCCGACAAAUCAUAUCAGGCAGCAACUUGCAGCAGCAGGAGCAGCAGCAAUUUUCAUGGCAAAGAAAGACUGCAGAGCUGAAAGGGAUCCUCUGUUCCUCGAUCAGCUGGGUGCUUGUGAGCGUGCGGCGCCUGCCAGGAGAGGCGCAGCGAGAGUGUGCUCCACGUCGAGCUGAGCGUCAGACCGUGCGGUCCCGUCCGUCGAGUCUUUGCUCUGGUCCGGCCCCCUCCCCUUCCUCGCGUCCUCUGCUUUGCCCCACAGCACGACGUACAGGCCGGCGACGACAGCGACGGCGCCUACCAUGCUGGAUAAAGAAACAAAAAUGAUGUCACUCUCGUUAUCAGUCUCUGAUGAUGCAGAUGCAAACGGCGCCUGCUCGGUGCUCGCUCGGGGUGGGCAUCAGAGAACUGAAGGCAUAUUCAGGUCUCUCUUUCAGAGAAGGGACGUGCCUUCCGAUGUGCAGCUCUUCGUGGAGGACGACGGCGGAGAGCGCGGUGGUGACCACGGUGCAGAGCGGGGUGAACAUGGCCGAGUAGAGGGGGCCCCUCACCGAGAUGCACCACGACUGCAGGUAGAACACCACGCCUGACCCGAACACGCCCUGCAUAAUCCCAUCGGGUGCGACAUGACCCCGUCAGCCAAGACCUCAGAUUGCUUCUCCGCCUUCUAGUUUCUCAAGGAAGCUGCGUGUGUACUCACGGCAAAGAUGUAGCAUGAGAGCUCGAAGAGGGAGUGGAUCUUCCACGAGCUACGGUUCGGUAGCAGGAAGAAGGUGACCGCCGCGGAUUGCAGCGUGGACAGGAAGCAGGUCCAGGCCGAUAGGGUCAGAGGAUCCAUGUACGAUCUGCAGAUGGGCGCCUGAAAUCCAAAAAUGAGCUGCCUAUGAGAUUGUGCUGCCACUUAAUUUAAGUAGAGAAUGCAGUGGUGUUUGAUCACUAAUUCAAGAUCCUCUUUGAUACCUGGUUAAGUUUAGAUGGCUAAAUUUAACUGCUAAGAGUUCAAAUAUGUCCAGCUAAAAUUCAGCUAAACUUUAUUCAAAAUCUAAAAAAAGCUUUAGCCAUUAGCUGGCCAGGAGUAGCUAAAACUAGCUAAAAGUAAGCGAAGUCCAAAAUACCUCUAAGAUUUCUUAAAAAUACCCACUACCACAGCAUUAACUCCUUUCCCCGCAGCCCUGCCGAGCGCCGCCCGCCACCCAUCGACGCGCCGCCGCCCCUCCCAUCGGCGCACGACGGAAGUAGUAGAAAUCAAACACAAGCUGCUACUAGCUGGCUACUACAUUGCUGUGCGCACAAGCUGCUGAUGGAGGACAGGAUCAGUUCAGUGGGAACCGCACAAUCAAACAUCGGAACAUGAAAGUUCUCCAAUUUGCCUCUCGUGGAACCGAUUUAAGUCUCCCCUGUGCUUGGUCUAGGCAUGAAAUCAGCACGUCAAAAAAAUCAAGCAGAAGCAAGAAACAUCGAAUCAAAGUGUCAUGCGUACUCCAAUUAAAAAUAAAGCCUACAGAGCUUGAGUAUGCACAACCUAAAAAUAUUUGACAAACAUUUCGCAUUGAAUAUAUUGUUCACUAAUACGGGAAAUCAAUGGCGAUGUGAAUGCUUGCUCAUAUACAUUGCCUUGGGAAAAAAACCCACUAAAUAUAUUUCUUAUUAGGCUAUUUAUUAGUCAAACUUGACAAAGUUCGAAUUUUUUUUACGAAACACGGUACAGACUCAAAUGCUCACAAACACGCACGCACACUCACUUUACUGAUGUCUCGUUAUCGACAUGUAUAUCGCCUACUAUUGAAUGAAUAGCGCCGGUUAAAUCCAGCAAAAUGCGAGGACUCGAGCCUGAUGGGCAAGUUCCAUCAUAGAAAUCUUAACAGCUGAGUUACACUCAGUUCGCGACAAAGUCCGAAUCUUCACACACAUAUGUGAAUGUUUUUCUUAUCAUUACAGCUUUAAUAAUCCCUUAUUUGCCACUAUGCAUGGAUCAAUAACAUAUAUAGGUAUGCGCACAUACGGUACUGGCACAUGAAAGAUCAAUAAGGAAUUGCAAAUUUUCAGUGAAAAAAAAUCCCUACCUAUAAUUUUGAGAAAAGGAUUCUACAGCUAAGAGAAAAGGAUUACAUGCUAAUGAAAAUGGUUGCUUAGCACACUGACCUGCAAGAUGAGCCAAAGGGACCAACAGGAGCUGCUGCCGAUGAGGAAGAGCGCUCCCAUCACCCAAUCGCUGCUUGACGGGGUAAGCAUGUACGAAUCAUGGAGAGAGAGCUUCAGCAGCUUUGGGCCUUUGAAGAAUGCAAUCGUGAUAGCUCCUCCGAUGCAGACUGCAGUGCCGAGGACCUUCGCAAUGCUAGCUACUUCUUUGAUGUUUACUCUUUCUUGCCUGUUGAUGAAUUAGAUGCAUGAAGCGAUAAUGACAGCGAUGCAACAUUUCAGAAUCUUACCAAAGAAACUGAACUCAACCUAUCAUGUACAGUAGCAGUUUUCUACAAAACUAUUAGCUAAUUUUCUGUCAGCCAUCAAUUUUUUUUUCGCCAGGAAAGUACAGGUAGGAAAAUAUGUUGAUAGAUUUUUGGAAGAAAAUAUGUCGAAUUUUUUGCAAAUGUCGUCAUUUGAUAUUGCAAACAUUAUUUUUCGAUGUUUUAAAAUAUUUCGUGAUUUUAGGGGAGGAAAUAUGGCAGAUUCUCCUGAUAUUACACAUGCUAUUUACUAUGUUUCAAUAUAUUAUUCUCGCAUGUUUCAGUCAUAUGUAACAUGAGAGAAUAACAUCUGCAACAUCAAAAAACAAUAUAUGUAACAUCAUAAAAUUUGAUAGAUUUUACCCUUAAAAAUUUGUCGACAGAUAAACAGACACUUCUAGCUGUACCUGAACUCGACUUUUCAAGACGUCUGCAAGAAGAGUUGGAUGAACGAACAUCAUGCAGCUUUAGGUGCCAACAAGGCUAGUUACAAGAGAUGGAAAUCAAACACAUUGCAUGAUCGUAAAAGACAAAAGAGCAGGCAUGCAUGUCAUGUGACGAGCUAGGUGAUAUACCAUCCCAUGUCGUUAUACAACGUGUUCGGCUGGCUGCUUUGCAGCGAAGCCAGCCGAACAACUACUUCAGAUAUCGUAAGAGGCUCUGCUUGCUACUGCACCAGCAUCCGAGCAGCAGCAGCCAGCCGAACACGCUGAUAGACUAAUGUAACACGCAACUAGAGAAGGAAAUUGACGUGUCUCGUGAUUGUUAGUGGCCUCACUUAAUCAUUGACACAUCUUCGAGGUCUGUAAGCAUCGAACGAUUAGCGAAAUUUCUAGCCGUCUAGGGCAUCUGGUCACUUUAUGCUCAACACUGGUAUUUUUUUUUUCAAAAAUGAAAUACAGCAGGCCUGUUUUCUGGGUACUCACCCAACGGCUACUGCCAUGGCGAAGGUGAUCGCCGGUAUCAAGUUCGUCAUGGUCGUGGCCAGCGAUGAGGUCCCUAAGUGCAGCCCGUGGUAGCACAGAUUCUGGUUCACCGUUGCUCUGUUGCACAAAAUGGAUACAUAGUUGUUGAUUGAAAACAGAGGAAGCAAAAUGUUGGCACGCUACCACUUCAUUUCCCAUGAGUAAGAAUUUGUACCCAAACAAAGCUGCCAUGAACACCAAGAAGAAGCCUUUCAUCCCAAGCCUCAUGUCCUUCAGCAUGCUCCUGACCAGUUCAGAUUCCAGAAAGAAUCACAACAAAGAUUACAACAGGCUGAAGCAGAGUGUGUGCGGGGUUAUAAGAAACGCUGGAGGAAAGAGGAGCAGCGUCACUGAUCGAUCAGAAUAUCAGAUCCUACCGGUUGGAGACGAUGGCGAUGGGAGCGAGGACGAGGGUGGCGACGGCCUGCCUGUAGACGACGAAGACCGUGGGGCUCAUGCCGCCGGCGAACGCCGCCUUGACCCACAGCGUCAUGGCCGCGAAGAUGCACUGCGUGGCAACCAUCGCCGCGCACGGCCUGUACCCCUCCACGACCGCGCGGAUGUGGCCGCCGGCCAUGUGUCCGGCUAGGCACCGGAGUGGACGGAGAGGGAGAGAGAAUUGCGAGCUCGGAAUCUACGGCACCGCGCGGAAGAGAGCUGUGUGUACUGACGAGCUCGCGCCUGUGCUCUGCUCCCUCACUGACUCGCGCUUGUGUACGCCUGGGAAGGGAGCAGCGGGCGAAUCCGGCUGCGGGCGGUCGGCGUUCGAUUGGCGGAUAGCCCAUAGCCACGCGCACCACGUCUUUGCAUCCGCCUGUUGGUGCGAGAAAUACAAAUGUUAUACUCCAUGCUCUCUAGCAAUUCUAAUAGAAUGUUUUAGGGUACGGUAUGCAAGAAUUUGUUCAUUUCAAAAUUUAUUUAUUCAUUAACUUUUAUCCAUUUUCUAACACAAUAUUCGUAUAUAGAUAUUUCUGAAUCUUUUUCAAAUUGCGGUGGAACCCAGUUACCAAUUAUUCUAUAUUGUUUGAGGUUUCCAUCUAUAUUCGUAGUGUUUCCCCUUACGCUGAACUUCCGUAUGUGUUCAACAAUCAACACGUACUGUAUUAGCUAAAACCUUGAGCUUUAGCUGUGUCAGCUCAUGUUGUAGCUCAUCUAUCAUUACUUCAUGAAUAUAUAAUUUAUCUUCCAAUUUAUAUCUUGUUAUUAUUUGUAAGAAAAACGUAUUUCCUCCACAAAUCCAUCUCUUUGAAAUUUAGUAAAAGGCUUGAUUACAUGUCUUCAGUUACACUUUUAGCUACUAUAAUGGCAUAUUAAUUCAUUUUAGCCUGCACUGCAAUGCCCAUUAUGUAAAAUGUCAUACCCGGUUUUAAGGACAAAAUCAAGUGCUACCUAUAUGUAUGCCAGGAUCAAGUUUCAUACAUAUAGUGACAUCAUAAGUGAAUAAUAGUAACAAUAUCACGUAAAAAGAUUCAAAUAAAGACUUACGAAACCAUCAGAGAUACAUAGCUUAAAUACUUGAAAUUGAGGCUCCAAACUUCACAGGCAAUUGACUGGGCGUUGCGUACGCCUAGAACUCAGCAUCAUCUUCGGAAUACUUCACACACCUUCUUCUUCUGAGCAGCAGUAAGCAAGGGUGAGUACACUUAUGGUUGGUACUCAGCAAGGCCACUAGAUUAACCAGAAUAACAAUUUAAGUCCAUCUUUAAGUUUAAUUAAUCAUGUGAGGGUCCAGGCCGUUCUUGACCGUGAGCACGGCUGAUCAAUCAGUUUUACACUCUGCAGAGGUUGCACAUCUUUACCCAUAAGUCACGUAAAAGUUCACAAGAACUUUGGACCCAACCAUGCGAUGCUAGCUAGGCAUCCUACCACACUUCCGAGGUGUGAUUGCAUAGGAACGCUACGAGGCCUUUACAAAGAUUCGCUAGUAUGUGGUAACCCGCUAAGGUUUCCAGAUCAGUAGCAGAGCAUAACAGUCCCCUAGUGGGUACAGUGUCUUAGCAAAGCCCACUUCCUAAGAGAGCGAGUGCUAUACCCCAUCUGCCGCCGCCCUUCUUGCCCUUUCGGUAAGAUUACCCCAGACUAGAGUUUCUAAUUAUUCAGCCAAGACCAGAGCCAUUUAGUCUUGUGGUAGCACUGUUUUCCUGGGUGGUUCUCCAUGUUCCCAUUAACUUUAUCAUGAUAUUAUUAACAAAGCAUAGGUAGAAGGAUGGUUAGGGAUACUUGCCUUUCUCCAACAAAAAGUUACUCUUACUGCUCUUCAGAAACUCUUACUCUUCAAAUCUUCCGAACAACAAAUCUUCUACUCGAAGCAAACACCGACACAAACAUACAAGCAAACAAAAAAAGUACAACUAAGAACAAUACACCAAAACAAAAGAAAAGCUUUAAAAGAGCGUACUAAAGGAUAGGGCUCGAUUCUAAGAUUACGCGAACGGAAGAGACGCUGAGAAUAGAGCUAUGAUCGAUAAGGCAAAACUAUCGGGAGAUUUUGGAUUAUAAAAGAAAAGACAAGAGCUACAAGCUUCAUUUAUUUUAGUUGAGAAAAACAAUGUAAAGAUAUUUUAGAGAAAUAUCCUUAGUUAGUAUUAAUCAAGUCAUAUUUAUAUUUUCAUAAGAAAAGGCGGUGUAAAGUUUAGUCCAAUUUUAUUUAUAAAUUUUUAUUUAUAAAUAUUUGAGUACAAUUUAUGCAAAUUAAACAUUUAAUUUAAAAAUAAGAUACAUGUAGACAUCUAAGCGUAUAGCUUUACAUUUCGAGUUCAACUAAGAAGAUUAAAUUAAAAACACAUUUAUAUUUAUAUUAGCUAAAUUAAUAUUUAAUUAUGAAAACUCGAGAUAUAACCUAAUUGUAUUUUAUUUAGAAAAUAAUAUGAAGUAGGCAUUAAUCAAGUUAACAUUUAAUUAUGAAAAACGAUAUAUAACACUAAAUAGAUUUUAUUUAGAGAAGAACUCGUUUGUUAGGCAUUUAAUCAAUUUUAAUAUAAAUUUUAUUUUCAAAAAUGUGUGUGAAGGAAAACAUUACCACUAACGUGUAAUUUAUGUCAUUAUGAAUCUAACGCAACUUCAACGGACAAAAACGAAAUUAAAACGUAGAAUCUAUGGGUUAAACGAGUUGCAAGGGCCCAAACGCAAUUAACCGUACACCUCAGGGGUUAGCAAGGAAGAAUUGCAAGACACCAGGAAUAGUCUCAAAAUUUGAGUUUUCCUCAGGAGCCUAAUAGCAAAAUCACCAUCUCAUCUUCAACCUUCCAACGCACUCCAACUGGUAACACGAUGGCCGUCGGCCGCAGGCCGGCCCUGCCGGCGGCGACGGCCGGGGCCGGGGCGGCUCGCGCGAGCGGCGGGUGACGGCGCCAUCAGGGAGGCCUGGCCGGCGGCUCCGGUGGCGCAUAGGCGGCGGCGCAACGAGCAGGGGCGACGGCCGGCGCGUGAGCCACGGGCGGCGGUGGUGCGGCGCGAUGCGCAGGCAAGGAGGCAACAGUGCGCGUGCGGUGACGGCACAAGCAAGCAGGAGGUGGCUGGGCGAGCAGGACGAACGGACCAGGCGGUGGCCAUGGUUACGGACGGUUUAGUUGCGUACAGAAACAGAGAAACAAAGAGAGAGGAAGAUGGAAAGCUGGAAACGAAGUCCGAUCUCGCGCAUGAAUGGUAAAAUGGAACGAUAACGACGAGACGAACGAGAUGGUGUGCUCACCUUCGGCCGAUGACUGAUGGUUUCGUCGGAUUUGCUCGCCGGAGUUUCGUGGGUAACCGGAUUUGACUUCAGAUCUACGGAGCUCGGAGCCUCAACUCACGAAAAUAAUUUUAAACUAAAAUUCUCGCGUCGAGACGAACGCGGUGAUAAAUAUAUAUAUAGGCCGGGCACAAAAAAAAGAUAUUUUCGAGUUAAUUUUUUAUUUUUUGAAUUUCUGAUUUUAUUUAUCUGCGCGAAAAUAAUUUUAGAAAUAGCCGGACUCAUUUUCUAAAGCGAGAAAAAUACCUAGAAAAUUCCGAAAAAUCUGAGAUAAAUCUCAGAGAUGGAUUGGGACACAAAGAAUCCAAAUAAAAUACUUAAAGCUCGUGAAAAUGAUUCUAGAGCCUUCCAAAAAUUGGAUUUAACUUUAGGAAAAGGAGAAUAAUUUCCAGAAAAAGUUGGAAAAUUCUCAAAAGGAUCUAGACAACGUCUAAAUGCAUUUUUAAAACUUUUUCCACUCAAGAAACACCAAGAUGCAUCAUCAUGAAUGCACAGACAUAAAAUAUCAUUAUUUAAUUUAGAAAAAUGAACAAUUAGUUUCCUAUACUAAAUUUCCUGUAAAGAAAAAUAAAGGUGGGGAAAAUUUUAAAAUUAUGAGAAAAUUAUUAUUUAUUUAUUCUUUUUAUUCACAUCCUGAAAUUCGAAAAUUUCAGGGUGCGACAUAAAAUUUCCUCUAUUAAAAAACUACAAGCACAAUAUGACCCUUUUACAAAAAUGUAAGGUGAAUCUUUAUCUUUAAAGACCAAAACCUGGCAGAAUUACGCUAAUUUCGUUGCUCCACGUCACGCUGACGUCGUAGCCAUCCGUUUUGAGCUCCUCUCAAUUCUCAGCCGUUCGAUCUCGUACGGACGGCACAACUUCUCUGGACUUGACCCGACGUAGCUAGGUGUGUCCCCUUUUGAACUUAGCAUGUGUUUGGUUCCAGGCAUGGGAUGGGACGGGAUGGGACAGUCCAUAAAUGUCCUAGUGUUUGGUUGUGAAUCGUAGGGGACAGGGACAUCCCGAAUCGGGAAUAUACCCCAAAUAUGCGGGACAACCCCGUCCGGCAAAAACGAGCGGACGGGGUCAUCCCGGUUCCUCGUCGCCCGUGCACGUGACCCGCGCGUGAAAAACGCUUCACCGCCCACCGCUCCCCUCCUCCCGUUCGCAGAAAAAAAACAGUGCCCGCUCCUCGAGCGGAAAAAAGCGGCGGCGCCGCGCACUGGCCAUCUAGACGGCGUCCGCAGAUCCGGGUCACCGGCCACCGCUCCGGAUCCUCCUGGCUGCUCCGACUCCUCCUAGCUGGCACGCGCACUCCGCGGAGGUCUCGUACGCGACCAUACACGCGGAGGCCUCGUACGCGGCCAUACGUGCGGCGGCCGGCCUGGCUUAUGUCGUCACGGUCGGUUAGUUGCCGCUGCUGGGAGCGAGAAGGCCGGGAUCUGACGCGGCUGACUUGCUCCGUACUCGUCGCUACGCAUAACGCCGGGUAGGUGACGGGCAGCUGUGAGAUUUGUUUUGGUGCGACCAUAUUUAUGCCCUCUUGAAACUCAUGUUCAGAUCCUGCUGUAUUGGUAGCAACGAUUGUGUUUGGAUUUAGCGGAGUCUGCCAAGGAAAAUCACGGGUGUGCCAAAUAUGUGUGCAUUUCACAACUCAAUUCAUAUGCAAUAUCACACAAAUCCACCUUGUGCUAUGCUCCUUGUAUCUUGAAAGUAAUAUUACUCUCCUCUGUCUUUCUAUCUUUUCUUGCUCCCUUACUGGAUUAUCUUAAUUACCACCAAUAUGAAGCUAGCUUCUGCCAUCGCAACCACAAUUUCUGAAUGAAUACAUUUGUGCAAUAAUGUCGGUAUUGGUUACAUGUGUGUGUGCAGUAGGAUUCAAUGUAUUUUUGUGAUGUGCUGGUAGUGGUUGGUGGUAUAUAUAUAUAUAUAUAUAGUCCUAAAUUCUUUGGUUUUUUGUGCUAUAGAUGGAUCAACAAACCAAGGUUGUUACUUGUACUGCUGCUGCAUAUAUGUUGUUGUCAAUGAUGGCCAUGGUUAUUAUUGAGUCUAGAAAACGUAAGCGAGCUGCAAGGAGAGAAGGUAUUACUUAUGGGCCUAUCGAUGAAAGGGAUAGGAUGAGACUUGAAUAUCUAAACAACAAAAUUUGGAAGGAUGAUAUAGUUUGUGUAAACAUGCUAAGACUCAAUAGAGCCAAGUUCUUUCGAUUUUGCAACCUAUUUAGGGAUCGUGGUUUGCUUGGAGAUACCAUCCAUUGUUCUGUUGAGCAGCAAGUGGCAAUGUUUCUAAAUACUGUGGGGCACAACCUUAGGAACAGAUUGGUUGGGACUAAUUUUGAUAGAUCUGGAGAAAUGGUCAGCCGUUAUUUUAACAAGGUUCUUCGUGCUGUUGGUGAGCUACGAGGGGAAUUAAUUAGGACACCGUCAUUGGAAACUCCUACCAAAAUUCUAGGAAACCACAGAUGGGAUCCUUACUUUAAGGAUUGUAUUGGAGCCGUCGAUGGUACACAUGUAAGAGCCUCUGUUCCUAAGGAUAUGGAGUUAUCCUUUCGUGGUAGGAAGUCAUAUGCCUCUCAAAAUGUAAUGGCUGCCGUAGAUUUUGAUCUCCGGUUCACCUAUGUAUUAGCUGGUUGGGAGGGGACAGCACAUGAUGCACUAGUAUUACGAGAUGCUUUGGAGCGUGAGAAUGGACUUCGAGUGCCACAAGGUAAUACACUAAUAGCAUAUCAAAUUCUCCAUAUGAAUCGUUGAUAUAAUAGAAAUAUGAUCAAAUUUCCAUCACAUUUUAGGGAAAUUCUACCUAGUUGAUGCCGGAUAUGGAGCAAAACCAGGAUUCUUGCCCCUUUUCGUGGUGUUUGUUACCACUUGAAUGAGUGGGGGAAUAAUCCUGUACAAAAUGAGAAGGAGCUAUUCAACCUUAGGCACUCAUCUCUUCGUAUCACAGUAGAGCGUGCAUUUGGGUGUCUAAAGAGAAGAUUCAAAAUUCUAGAUGAUGCCACUCCUUUCUUUCCUUUCCCGACUCAAGUAGAUAUUGUUGUUGCUUGCUGCAUCAUUCACAAUUGGGUCAUACAAGAUGGAAUUGAUGAGUUCUUCAUGGAAGAAAAUAAUUUGCCAAGUUAUAACCAUGCUACAACAUACAGUGGACAAGCAAGUGAGCAUACCGAGAUGGUUAAUUUUAGACAAAGCAUUGCUGAUCAGAUGUGGGCAGACCGUCAAAACAACAAUAUUAAUUAGUACCCACUAGUUUGUUGAUGUAUUUCAGUUUUGCAAGUAUUUUUCUUGUUUUAUUUGUGUUGUAUGGACAUAUUGUUGCUAUAUUUCAGUUGUACGGACAUGAUAAUAUUUUUCAUAUUGAUUAUUGAGGAGGAUGGAGUUGGGUAUAGUGUACUGACUUCUAUAGUGUACUGGUUUGUGACUUCUUGUUUUCAAAGAAAAAAACAUUCAGAAGUGUUGUGAUUGUGCUAUGCUUGGUGGUUCCUGUUUAUUAGCUCUUAGUUCUUCUUUGCAGCUUAUUGUGAUUGUGUUGUGCUUGGUGGUUAGUUUUUGUUAUGUCAAAAAACUGUAUGGCAAAAAAUUGGACCAGAAGUGUUGUGCUUGCUAGCUGCAUUUUAAUUGAUCUUUACAUUUCUGAGGUGCUGUAAAAUGUAAAAUUUCAGAGGUUACUGCUGCAUGCUUGUUAUUGUCAUUUGCAUUAUCAAAUCUUAAGGAUGUGUGAUAAGCUUAUUUACAAUUGUAUACCGUAUAUCGGUUGCUUUUCUGCUAUAUAUCGUGAAGCUUUUUACUUUUGACGUGUAUUGCUAAAUUGCUUGCCACUUAUAAUUUUUCUGAUGCUCCAGAGAAUAUAGCUAUGCUAACUGAAAUGUACCACAUGUGGCUUUGGUUAUUUCAGGAUUACGUACCACCAGCAUCCUUCUCAUGUGGCUAUUGUUUAUUGUGCAGUUGUAGUUCUCCUACUGAUCUCGUUUCUUUUUUCAUGAUCUUUUUUAUUGUGCCCUGGAAUCAUGGAAAUAUAUGCAGCGAGCCAAGUGGUUUGUGCUGAUUUGGACAGUAUCAUUCAUGUGGGCUCUUUUGCAUGAACAGAUUGCAGUAAAAAGGCUCAAGAGUUGGACAACCAUGUCGAGGGACUGACAUACGAUACUUGCUGUUUUUUUUGUUCAUGGCAGGCAAUGGACGGCCAUGUCGAGGGACUUGGGAGAGGUACUAGUGUGGCUGCCUGGACAGCGCCAAUGUCCACUUUCAUGCUGAAAAAUCUUGCCAAUGUGGUUGCUAGUGGUGUUAAAACAGGAAAGGGCUUCAAAAAGGUCUAUUUUAAUGCAUGUGCUAGAGCUGUCAAUGAAAAAUUCAACACUACACUCAAUGGUGAGCAGAUUAAGAAUCAUCUAAAGACAUGGCAAAGAAAGUGGGCCAAGAUAACAAGACUCAAGAGUUUGAGUGCAUCUGGAUUUGAUGAAGAUAACUACAUCAUCACCCUUGACGAGGAGCACUACAAUGGCCAUGUGCACGUAAUCUAGUUUCUAUCGUUUUGUGGUCUUGUUCUUAUCAUAUUUUUCGUACUGAUUUCUAUUGCAUUAUAGGAUCACAAGACUGAUGCUGAGUAUUUAAACAAGCCUCUUGAGAACUAUGCUGAGAUGGAAACAAUCUUUGGGAAGGAUAUGACUACAGGCAAGUUUGCAAAGGAUUCAAGUGCUCCUCUUGGUACAGAAGAUGAUGACACUGAAGAUGGAGCUGCAAAUGGUACAGGAGAUGAUCCUAGCAGUGCUUUUGAGGAAGGGGUAACAUCUAAUGCAAGACCUAACAAGAGGGCCAAGAUUGUUGAAAGUGAAGAGGAUGGACUGAUUGGUGCGUUCAACAAAGUUGGUGACAAGCUUGCCAUAGCUAUAAUGCAGGUUGCUAAAUCAAACAAUGAGCUGCCAGAAGAUCUCUUUGCUAAAGUGAAUAGCCUUUCAGUUUCAGGCUUUAAUGAUCUUCAGAUAUCCACGUACUAUGCUCAUCUGGUGGCCAAUCCUCUCACUGGUAAAGCUUUCUAUGGCUUGCCAUUUGAGCACCAGUUACAUUGGAUGGCUAUGUUUGUUAGUGAGAGGUUCCCUGGACAGUAGGGUGCUUUUGGAACAUACAACUAGUGAUAGUGGUAAAGCUUUCUUUUGCUAACUAGGCCAUGUUUGUUACACGUGAUAGUUGUAACAUCUCUUUUGUCAUAUUUCUUUUGCUAACUGUGGCCUAUCUUGUAUGCCUUGAACUUUCUAUUUUGUGUAAGGCAUGAAUUUGAUGUAAUGGAAGUAUGGUAAAUACCAUCUGUAUAUGAAUGUCAUUUGAUGGUAAUGAAUUAUAUAUGAUUCGGACUAUAUAUAUUGUGUAACCAAAAAAUUGAAAGUUGUAUUUAUAUCAAAAGGAAAGCUGCAAUUAUUGUUAGAAAGAAGGUAUGAGAGGUAGGAGGUGAGGUAGGAGGUAAUGUCACUGUAUUUGUGCGGGAGGUUAUCAUAACCGGUUGUCCCUCGAUCCAAACAGAAAACAGGAUCGUCCCAUCCCACGUUUAUCCCUCAAAUCAAACAAAAAAUAGGGACGCCCCUGUCCCUCUAACCAAACAUGAAAUAGUAUCAUCCCAUCCUAGAAAACUGAAACGGGACCAUCCCGUUCUACAUUGUCUCCCAUCAAACGCAUACUUAGACAAGGGCUACUUCCACCGUGCGACUGCUCCACCGCCGGUUGCAGGGCUGGACGCCAAGCGCCGCGGCCUACGGUCUUGGCGGCUCGCUAACAGGGCCAGGCAUGAGGAGUGCAGCCUGUACAACCGUACAGGGCCUCCAUUUCCUUAGGCCUCUAUUUUUUUCUACUCUACAAGCCUACAGCUCAUCAAACACAGCAAUAGCUGGUUCAAACCAGGCAUGACGCACUCUAGAAGGUCUGAGGUUGAGGCGUGAAUCAUUUUCUCAUGCAGCAGGUGCAGAUUAGGAGGCAACAGCCCAAGGUCAGGACGCUGGACUAUUGGAGUCUCGAACUUUGGAUGCGCUGCAGGCCAGAGUGCAGUGUGCACCUCAAGGCUCGGCCUUGCACAUCAAAACCGGGUUAAGGACUCAUGGAAAUCUUUUAUUCUUCAAUUCUACUUUCUAUCUUGCGCAUAUGAACAAUUAAUCUAUUAUAUUACUAGCUCUAAAUUCUUUAUUACUUCUUAUUACUUGACAUACAUCCUUUAAUAAUGUAAUUCAUCUUUUGUACACAUGUGUAUGAAUUGGUCUAGGGGUCUAUUGUUCCAAGACUGAAGCCAUGUUUUAUACAAUCCUCUAGAAAAUAUGAUUGCGGGAGUCAAAAUCGUAAAAAAGACAAAGAAUAGAGGAAUUAAUUCAAUUUUAUUGCCGCGUGAGUGUAAUAUAUUUUAGCUUAAACACUCGUAUUGCUCAUAUUUCUUAGACAAGAGGGGCCGUUUCAGAGUUUGGACAGGGCCCUGAAUUUUGCCGGCCCGACCCUGCUCGCUAAGGUCCACUGCUCACCGCCAUAGGACUCUAGCUUGAGGAGGUCCGCCUACCACCGCCACGAGCUUGGGAAGGUGUAGGGUUGGACAUGAAUGUCUGGAAAUCCGAAUUAUCCGAAUUCAUAUCCACUAAAAAUACUAAUAUGGAUAUCCGUAUUCAUAUUUGUUUUUAAUGUGGAUGUCAAAUGGAUGUAUCUGGAUUUGAUUUUUAGUGUUUUUCUCUAUCCGGUUCCAUAUUCGUAUUCGAUAAAAAUGUGAAAUAUCCGACAUUAUCCGUAUCCGCAAAGAAUAAAGUACCAAUGAAGCCAUCUAAAACUUAUUUAUAUUACUAAAUACUAAUUACAAAUGAUGUUAACUUUAAUAUUACUAAUAAAAUAAUUAUUUACACCAUUUAAACUAUUAAAAAUUAUCUAUAUGACAAAUGACUAAUUAUGUUAACCUAAUAUUACUAGGGAUAUAUAAUGAUAAAUUUUAAUUAAAUUUAAUAUAACUAAUCAUAUUAAGUUAAAUACAUUUAUUAUUUAUUAAAUGAAUAAAUAAUAUUUAAAUGUAUUAAUGAACUUAUUUUUAUUAUUAAAUGAUAUAUAUUUAUGGAAAUACUUAUUUUUAUAUUUAUUUGAUAUAUUUAAGGAUCAUCUCCUUCAGCUUUCUCCUGAAUGAUUUGGCUUCCAUGAUUAGGUGGUUCUGAAGAAGUGAAAGUAGCCAGUGUUGCUGAUGAUCACUGGCCGCUCGGACCUUUUGGCCAUGAUGGCGAUGGGGCGAGGGCAAGGGUGGUGGCGAAGCCCUGCCUGUAGACGACGAAGACGAUCCCGGGAGAACGCCGCCUUGGCCCAGAGCGUCAAGGCCGCGUAGAUGCACUGCGUCGCCACCAUGGCCGCGCACGGCUUGCACCCCUCCGCGACCGCGCGGAUGCCACCGGCCAUGGCUGCUGCGUCCCGCGCGCCGGGCAGAAAUGGCUAGUACCUGAGAUGAAUAUCUCCUCAGCCGGCGCGGCGAGCAACUAGUACUUAUCGGCCUGCUCCCUUUCGUGUAUGGCGUAUGCGCAUAGCACUACAAGUCUACAACUGCCCAGUGACCAAUUAGCUGUUAUCACACGUCUCUCUACUAUCAGACACCCCCGCCCAUACGAGCGCAUUUCCAAAAAUAUUAUAAACCAUGUGUCAACAAGCCGAGCUUAAUCCAGUAGCUCAAGCUCUUGACCUAGUUUGAAAGGUCGCCCUGAUAUUGAUCGGACCACACGGGCUGACAGGCGUCCUUUUUGUGAGCUAGGGAAGGUAUGCUAGGCUUGUGAUGUCAGCCGCUAGUAGUAGUAGGCCCAAACGCUACAGACCCAAACACGCCAUAGCACGCACGAAUGCCACAAAGCUGCUCUGGAGUGGACAGUCAACGUGGACGCCGCGGCGGUGGGCCGGUGGCGGGCGGCGAAGGAGCGGAUCUAGGAUCCGGGCUGGGGGCUGCAUCCCAGGUCCAUCCCAAGAUCGUCCGUAUGACUAUGUAGGCUAGAUCUCAGCUCAAGGCAAAUAAAAGGCACAAGAAGCUAGCGCUAGCCUAGUUCCCCUGCAGCAGCCCGGGCCUGGACCAUCUCUGGGUCCGCCCCUAAGCGGCUCGGCACAUUUUGAUAAGCAUGCAGGUCAAACGUGACCACCCAAACUCCAUGACAAAAAAUGGGAGUGCACCGCACUGCACCAAUGGUACAAUCACCCCGAAUCUGCUGACGCAACCGUGUGGUGAUCCUUGAGACAGGGCAUCUCUACUUCUCCACUGGACCGGCGGCGUCCGCCAGCAGGAGCGGCUCGACGAUGCCGUUGCCGGCGUCGAGCAUCGAAUCCGACCGGGUCAUCGUCUUCUCCAGAUCGUCCGCUUGCUCCGGCUCCCUCCCUCUCUUGACCCCGUCGCCCGCCUUGCCCCACAGCACGACGUACAACCCCGCGAUGACGGCGAACGCCCCCAACAAGCUCAAUAGACAAAUAUCAGAAAAGGAUCACAAAACUCCUGCAGGUUAAUAACUCUCUUCGAAGUGGACAGUCGUCCAAGCGCUGAAGCGCAACAGACCUGCCGACGUGCAGCUCUUCCCGGAGCACGACCGCCGCGAACACGGUGGUGAUGACGGUGCAGAGCGGGUUGAACAUGGCCGAGUAGAGCGGGCCCCUCACCGAGAUGCACCACGACUGCAGGUAGAACGUCACGCCCGACCCGAACACGCCCUGCGCACAACACAGUUCACGCCGCCACCGCGACAUCGAUCACCUCCAAGCUAGGUUACAUGGAAACGGCACAGGAAGCUAGCAAGUCAUGGCGAAGAAUGGUUACCGAGAAGAGGUAGCAGGAGAGCUCGAAGAGCGAGUGGGUCCGCCAGGCGGCCGGGUCCGGCUGGAGGAAGCAGCGCGUACUGCAGCGUGGACAGGAGGCACAUCCACGCCGACAGCGCCAGAGGGUCCACGUAGGACUUGCAGAUGGGCACCUGCAGGAUGAGCCAGAGCGACGAGCAGGAGCUGCUGCCCACGAGGAACAGCGCGCCCACCACACACCUGUUGCUUCCCGCCGGCAAGUGGAGAAGAACCUGCAGGUCGCCGAGCAGCUUCGGGCCCUUGAAGAAGGCCAUGGCCAUGGCGCCGCCGACGCAGACGCACGUGCCGAAUAUCUUGGCCAGGCUCCUCGGUCUCCUCGCUUCCACCUUCUCAAGGCUGUCGUGUGAAUCAGAAAGAGGGGCAUCACCAACGUUUUCCGGACGAAUUUAUAGCAUCAGAAACAAAGUUUCAGACAAAUCGAGAUAAUACCGGAUACACCCUCCUAAAGAUUAGUCCUAAAAUGGGUCCUAAAAGUGGACUCCUAAUCUUGAGGAGGGUGUAUCCAAAUAGGACCUAAGGCCAAUCUCAGUGGAGGUUUCAUCAGGAGUUUCAUGAUCAUUAAAUAACAUUCCACAUCAGCAAUUUUACUGACGUGAUAAGGUCAUUAUGAGAAGAAAGAGGAGAGAAAGUUUCAUCAUAUGUGAGGUUUCAUCACCAUGAAACCUAGCAGGCAAAGUUACCAAGUUCUCAAUCUUGAUAACUAUGCCAUGAAACUAUGCAUUGAGACUGGCCUAAUUAGGCCAGCCUCAGUAGGUGUCAUGGAGGGUUUCAUGGGUAUUAAAUUCUAUGUCAUAUCAGCAGUUUUGCUGACUUGGCAAUCUAAUCAUGAGGAGAAUGGAGAGGAGAGUUUCUCCAAUGAAACCCACUUGGCAUAGUUACAAGCCCAUGAAACCCAAUGAAAAUUGCACAGAAGAUGUUAUAGUUUCAUUGUAUGACACAUUGAUCAUAACUCUAUGAAAAAUUAAAUGUUGUCGAUUGUCUAUAAAAUUUUACACUGAAAGUGACAAUUUUAUUUUAUUGAAAAGAUGACACGGUAGUGCAGCGAGUCUCACAGAACCAGGGACAGAUCACUGAAACCAUGCAGCGAGUCUCACAGAACCAGGGACAGAUCUGAUUGAAGACGACGAUCCAUUGCAUGAGUGACAUAUUCUGGGAGCUAGUGAAUGUGUCAACAUAAUUUAACAUGCAUGCAAAUUAAAGUGUGCGUGAACCUACAAUCAUUUUGUCCUAACUGAAAACUACGAAGCAACAAGCUGGAAAGUGUUCUGCAUGGAACGAAGAAACAUGAUGUUUCUGGAUGCUGACAAAGAGUCAGACUGUCAAAGUAGUAUGCUUGCUGCAUGCAUGACCUGGAGCUCUGUUCCAAAUGAAUAACCGCCCAGAAGGAAUGAUGUGAGUAUGUGACUAGACGCCAUGGAAGCUACUAGCGUAUCGUGUUAUGCCGGGACUCCAUGCCUCCCGUGACAUCUCCUGGUUUUGGACUCGACCUCCGACCUCGCAUAACAGAGAAACAGAUAGAUCGUCGAUUUGUUCAGUGUUCACUACUGCAAGUUUCCGAUUUUUUCUUUGGAGCUCAUGUAGAUUUCUUUGUUGGUUUUUGAGUCCUAAUUUGGAUUUUGGAACGAAUGAAUUGCACAGAAAUAAUCAGUUAAAAAGCGGCCUGAGAUCUAGUGAUAUAUCCCCAUCCAAGAAAGGGAGUGAUCUGAUCUGUUACCCCGGUAGCUAAGCAAGAUUAAGCAUCAUGUGUUCAUGCGGUCAUGUUUGGAACAGAUUAAAUCCAACUUAUGGCUAAAAUAAAUCGAAACUAGAAGUCAAACAAUAUAUUUUUUCAGCUUAUUUUUAGCCGCGCUUCUCCCCACCACCUCCAUUUGUACUGAAACGCAGAAGCCAGUUCAGAUCCGCUUCUCAAAUAAAUAUUAUUUCAAUAUUUAUACAACUUAUUUAAGAAGCGCUUCUUCCUGCCGCGGUUCCGAACAAGACCUAUGGUCCAGGUGCGAAUGCAUUAUUGAGUGAGGUGGCACGUUGGUCCCGGCUCAAACAGGUGCAGGGCGUGCAGCCACAAGGAGCCAAACUAAUGCAGCAGUAUUAGACGACAGUGGAGGGCAGAUCAGAAACAGUGUCCUGCUAGUACUUCGCUAGUGCACUGAAACGGAUUCUCUGUCAGGUACUCACCCGACUGAUGCUGCCAUGACGAAGGUGAUGGCAGGAAUCAAGUUGGUCAUGGCCGUCGCCAUGGAUGACGAACCCAGAUGCACCCCUUGGUAGUACAGACACUGAUUCACCGUUGCCCUGUCGCAUGCGUAGAGCAAAAGAGAUCUAAAAUCUCAUAGAUAAGAAACCGAAAAGGUUCCACUAUGCUGGAAACGAAUAUUGGUGUUGUUGAUCGUCGAUGAUCGCGAUCUUCCAAGCGUGUGUUAUAUAGUUUUGCUAUUGCAUAUCCGAUAAGAGACGCGAUGAAGACCAACGACGAGAAUCCUACGAUUCCAAGGCCCGUCAUCGUCUCCGUCAUCUUCUUCCUGCAGAGCACCAGUCACGACCGACGAUCAAAAUCAUCAGUGAAACAUGUAUACUAUACAGGAAGAACUCUGGAAGUUCUAUUGGAACAGAUUUAAAGAUAUAUUUAACUGGAUCAUUAACUAACAGAUUUAAAGAUAUAUUUAACUGGAUCAUUAACUCCUAUGAGUUAAGGGAUCUUGUAUUGAACGGAGGGUUGUAAACAUGGAGUAAUAAUCAUGUUGAUCCCACCUUAGAGAAACUGGAUAGGGUCUUGAUAAGCGAAGAUUGGGGAAAGGAAUUCCCCAUAACAAAUCUCAGGAAAAUUCCUACAUACAUGUCAGAUCACAACCCUAUGUUGUUGUGUACUGACCAAAAGAAAAUCAGGAAAACAAAGCAAUUUUGCUUUGAGACUUCCUGGAUCAAGCACAAAGACUACCUUCCUAGAAUUUAGAAGAUCUGAGGUGAAAGGGUGGUUGUUAAAAAUGUUGUAGAAAAAUGGUACAUUAAAGUCAACAGAGUCAAAAAGUUCUUGAAAGGCUGGGAUAUAAACUUGAGAGGUCAAAAUAGAAGAUACAAACAUAUUCUCCAAACUAAAUUAAUGGAAUUAGAAAAGAAAGAAGAAGAGGGCAUGUUGUCAAGAGAACUUCUAAAUAGGAAAAUUUUUAUCCAAACUGAACUGUCGAGAAUGCUACAAGAAGAGGAGCUAUAUUGGCACAAAAGAUCCAAUACUAAGUGGCUUCUAAAAGGAGACAAUAAUACUGACUUCUUUCACAGAGUUGCUAACGGAAAAAAAAAGGAAAACUGCCAUAUAUUGUUUACAACAUAAUGGCACAAACAUUGAGGGAGAUGAAGAAAUUAUCAAACACGCUACUCAAUAUUACAAGGAAUUGUUUGGACCCUCUGUUAGUCCAAUGUUCAAAUUAGACCCGGACUGCUGGGAUCAAUCAGAGAAAAUAACCAGUGAGGAAAAUGGUAUGCUCUCUAGACCAUUCACAGAGGAAGAAAUUAAAAAAAGUGAUUUUCUUAAUGGAGAAAAACACAGCCCCAGGUCCAGACAAUGUGCCGGUAGAAUUCUAUCAGUCUAGCUGGGAAAUUAUCAAAAUAGACAUGAUGGACAUGAUUAGGGAAUUUGGUGAUCACAAGCUGGAUGUUGGGAGACUGAAUUAUGGAGUGAUUACUCUAAUUCCGAAAACAAAGGAAGCCAAUACGAUACAAAAAUACAGGCCUAUUUGCCUACUCAAUGUGAGCUUUAAAAUCAUAAUCAAAGCGAUGAUGUUGAGAUUCGAAGACUGCAUGAGCAGGAUUAUUGGCAGAUGUCAGACAUCAUUCAUAAAAGGAAGGAACGUAAUGGAUGGGGUGCUCAGCUUACAUGAGAUUCUACAUGAUACAAAAAUCAGAAACAAGGAUGGUGUGGUAUUGAAAUUGGAUUUUGAAAAAGCUUAUGAUAAAAUAAGCUGGGACUUCCUAUUUGAAUGUCUGAAGCAAAGAGGAUUCAGUGAGAUCUGGUGUAAAUGGAUUCAAGAAGUAGUUACAUGUGGAUCUCUUAGUGUUAAAGCAAAUGACAUUAAGGGGGGUACUUUAAAAGCGGCAAGGGUGUAAGACAAGGGUAGCCUCUGUCUCCCCUGUUCUUUAACCUGGCAGCUGAUACCCUGGCAAAAAUGAUCAGCAAAUCUCAAAAAAAUGGGCUAAUAAAAUGUUUAGUCCCUGAAUACAUACCCAAUGGAGUGGCAAUCCUACAGUACGCCAAUAACACAAUUCUUUGUAUGCAAGACAGUGAAGAGACCGCGAGAAACAUGAAACUUUUGCUAUGCAUAUUUGAAAAGAUGUCCAGCCUCAGAAUUAAUUUCAAUAAAAGUGAGAUUGUCAUGAUUACCCAAGAUGAACAAAAAUUAAUUAUGUAUUCAGAAAUGAUGAAUUGUGCAAUAGGAUUGUGGCCAAUAAGAUAUCUAGGUGUCCCUGUAUCUGGUGCCAGACUUCAUAUAAUGGACUAGUUACUGCUAGAUGAGAAGUUGCUUAAGUGGUUAGAUGGAUGGCAGGGGAGCUCAAUGUCAAUUGGAGGGAGAGGAACCCUAAUAAACUCCUGUUUAAGUAGCAUCCCAACAUAUAGCAUGUCUAUGUAUCUACUCCCAAAGAUAAUUUUGAAAAGAAUGGACAGGACUAGGAAAAGAUUCUUCUUGCAGGGUGGAGGAACUAAAAAGAAAUAUCCUCUGGUCAAAUGGGUCAAAAUCACCAAACCAAAAAAGAAAGGGGGUAUAGGUAUCAAAGAUCCGAGGAAGAUGAAUGUGAAUUUAUUGUGCAAAUGGUGGUGGAAACUUGAAACAGGAGAAGGCUUGUGGCAGGAAAUUGUCAGAAAGAAAUACAUGGCUGAAGGUGGGGGUCACUCAACUGAAAACAAAGCCAUAUAAUUCCCCUGUGUGGAAGGAUCUGUUAAAGGUUACAGAUAUAUAUAUAUAUAUAUCUAAAGUGUAGAAUAGUGCUAAUCGGAGAUGGGAAGAAUACUAAUUUUUGGAGAGAUCCAUGGUGUGGUUCUGUCUCGCUUAAGGACAAAUUUCAGGAGCUGUUUUGAUAUCUGUAAUGAGCAAUCAGGGAGAGGAUGGGGGCUGACCUUUCGAAGGUGGUUAGAUGAGAGAGUGCAAACAAGCCUAAGGCGACUGAGAGACAUGAUUUCCAUGAGAGCUUUAUCAGCUAACAAAGAUAGGCUGAGAUGGAUUUGGGAAAAAUCAGGGGCAUUCUCAGUGAAAUCUCUGUACUCCCAUCUGUGUAGCUCCGAGAGGGAGGAGCCUCACAAGAUGAUCUUGAAGUCAAAGCUUCCCUUAAAAAUUUAAAUUUUUAUGUGGUUAAUCCAUCAAAAGGCCAUCCUGACAAAGGAUAACCUUUCAAAACGUAAUUGGCUCAGUGAUAAAAGCUGCAGCUUUUGUCCUUUGGAUGAAACUAUAGACCACAUGUUCUUUGAAUGUUCCCUGACUAAGGGGGUGUUUGGGAGGAGUGGGCUAAACUUUAGCCCUGUCAUAUCGGAUGUUCGGAUACUCAUUAGGAGGACUAAACAUAAGCUAAUUACAAAACUAAUUGCAGAACCCCUAGGCUAAAUCGCGAGACGAAUCUAUUAAGCCUAAUUAAUCCAUCAUUAGUGAAUGGUUACUGUAGCACCACAUUGUCAAAUCAUGACCUAAUUAGGCUUAAUAGAUUCGUCUCGCGAUUUAGCCUAGGGGUUGUGUAAUUAAUUUUGUAAUUAGUCUAGAUUUAAUACUCCUAAUUAGUGUCCAAACAUUCGAUAGGAUGGGGGCUAAAAUUUAGCCCCCUCCUCCCAAACACCCCCUAAAUACGUCUGGAGUUUAACAGCCAUGGUGAUAGGAGCAACUUGUAGACCGACAUCUUUUGAGCAAUAUUGGGAAUGGGCUAAAACAUUCAUGCCAAAUAAAGGGAAGUUGUAUAUGGUUGGCCUACCAGCAAUAUGCUGGGUCCUAUGGAAAUCUAGAAACUCUGUGUGCUUUGAUGGGAAAAAAUCAAAUCCUCUACUAAAAUUAUUUGCUUGGCAUCUUCCUUUAUCUCGUACUGGGCAGGUCUACAGAAGCUGGAGGACAAGAUGGACUUGGAGGUGGGAGCAGAAGCCCUGAAGGAAACAGUGCUGCAAUUCCACCCUCACGAAGCGACGCCAGAAGACGCAGGAAUGGUGCUAGUUUAGUAGAUGACUGCGAAAAAAGAGUUUCAAGGAAAAACGACGACGUCUACUCCUUGCUGUUUAGAACUAUUAGAUGGCUGGCGAUGGCCGUUAACAUGUUGCGGUCUGUUUGCUCAUGUAAUAAUUAGAGACUGUUUGCAGCUUUAGCUAGCGGGGCCUCUGUUCCUCAUUUCUGAAGAUUGUCUUCCCUUGAAGUUUAGCGUGAACUUUGUAAUUUCAUUGCUUUUAAGUAACUCUGGAAGUUCUGUCAUAGUGGAAAAAAGGACUAGAAGUUCUGGCAAAAUAUACAUGCCACGAAGAAAUGCACCUGCUAGCCGCGGUGACUAUCGGGGAUAGAUCCACAGUACCCGCAAGGAAGGAAGAAGACGGACUCCUACUAGGAUUUUUCUGUAAUUCUACUAGGAUUCAUACCUUGUAAUCCUAGGACUCCUCCUUGUAACCGACUAGUAAUCCCGCCCAUUGGAGUAUAUAAAGGAGGACAGGGGUCCCUAGAUCGGUAGGCAAAGACCUCAUAGAAUCACAACAGAGGACCAAAUCCUCAACACCGAAAAACAUACAAGCACAGGGCGCAAUAUACAACACCCUAAACAGGAUGUAGGGUAUUACGCUACUCUGGCGGCCUGAACCUGUAUAAAUCCGUGUCUUGUGCCCUCGCUUUUACCUUCGAGUUCCAGGUCCGACGAUCCCCCAACAACCAAUCUACUACCUCGGGAUACCCUCGCUAGGUUGCCAGGUAUAAAACACCGACAAUAACGAUAGGGAUGAGGACGACGGUGGUGACAGCCUGCCUGUAGAUGACGAACACUAGGGGCUCAUGCCGCCGGUGAAUGCCGCCUUGGACCACAGCGCCAGGGCCACGUAGAUGCACUGCAUCACCACCAUGGCCGCGAACGGCUUGUACUCAUCCAUGGCGGCUACAGUUGCAACACACGCUGGGCGGUGGGCGCUGCAGGUUGGUUUCGCUCAGUGGCUGGAUCUGGCACGGCGGUGCGUGCUCUCAGGAGCUACGCAGGCGGCACAUAUAUAUAGCAACGGGAAGGAGUUGCAGAUUACUAGCACAAAAAGUACAAAGAGUCACAUAGGGUGUGUUUGGUUGGGUGGCACACAAAGUAUUAGGAGGUUCCUGCAUGUGCGUGUGUUUAGUUGAGUGGCACACAAAGUACUGGGAGGCUCCUGCAUGUGCGUGCUCACAAGGUAGCAUACUGUUUGGACGUACGUGUUUGCUAUCAUAAGGGUGGGUGGUUAACUGGUUGCAUAUCACAAAAGUUUCUACGGACAUGUGCUCACAUGCUACUAGCUAGCACUUAGCAGACUUAUUAUGGAACAUGGAAAGUUGGAAUGGUGAUCUUAGGGACUUCUUCGGAACAGUGUAGCCAAGUUUAACGUGCUUUUGGUUCCCACCUGAAUCUUGGCACCAAAACCCCCAUCAACAUCAGUCCGGAAACCAGCAGUAUCGAUUGUCUCAAUUUUUGAAAUAGGCACAUGAUGUAGCGGUCAACUAGCACCAGCCAUUUCUGGCAUCUCUGUAAAAGCGUAUGCUAAUUUCAUCUCUGUAAUAUGCGAUUGAUUUAGGGUACCACUAACAUUCCCCCUUCCUCUUUAAUCUUUCCUAAAAAAAUUAUAAAAGUACUUAAAUUUAUGGAUGGAGUAAGUAUUUGUACAUCUAAAUUGUAUUAAAUAUAAUGGAGAAGUUCUCGAUUAAAAGGCUGUGAAUCUAUGUAAGAGGUAUAAUUUCCUAUGAUGUCUUUAUCCGAUUUCAUAUUAAAAAGUUUCGAAUUUCCAAAACUCAUGCUACAAACUUAGGGUCAACACUAGUUCUAGUUUGGAACCGACAUAGAGAGUCGCCUAUUAACGACAUUACCUAGCCACCUAGGAGGCUCUGACCCUGGGCAGUAGCUAUUCAGCAACAUUAUUAGUCGGGGUUCAGUGAUCAAAGGUAACCAUGCCAUAGAUUUGUUUAUAUUAUCUUCUGGAUAUUCUUAAUUUCUACUGUUAUCAGAAACUGUGAGCAGCCAAUCUUGAUAUUCUUUUCUAUGUGUUCAUGUGAACCUGAGCUGGACAUGAAAAGGCCAGUACAACUUUACAACAAUUUGACCACUGGAAUGAUGCAUGUAGGUUUGGUUGAACAAAUGGGAGCGUAUUAACAAGACUGUUUAGUACCUGAUCAUGUUAAUCGGUCUGGCCCAUUUGUACAAAUCUAAACAUAUUUCCUUUCCUGGGGUCGGAGAAGAUGCGCAUAUGUAACAGAGGGAGUAUCAAUCAAUCAAUCAAUCCUAUUAUUUACCUAAAAACUCGCCGGGUCCUACACAUUAGACCUAAUCCACUUUAGGGUUUUCAAGCGACGACGCAUCACAAAGCAAACAAGCAGCUCUCUUCUUCCCUUCCAUCUUGUCACACAAAAAUGACACGCAACGCCCCAUCGAGACAUACACCCCUUCGUCGUUGUCGGAAUAUACCUAUGGCUCUGGCCAAGUGGCCGCGUGCGGGUGCACGUAGUGGUCACGCACGGCUCAAUUAUAAUGGCACGGAUCCAAUUAAUCCUAAGAUGGAGAGAGGCACCUAGGGGCUGAUAAAGUCGUCGUGUUGGCAGCGACGCGUCAUCAAACAAAAGCAUCCAUCAAUCAAUCCUAUUGUUUACCAAAAACUCGCCAGAUCCUACGCAUUAUAUCCAACCCACUUCAGGGAUUUCAAGCGACGGCGCAUCACCGAGCAAACAAGCAGCUCUCUUCUUCCCUGCCAUCUCGUCACAAAAUAAUGGCUCCAGGACAGCCAAGUGGCCGGGCCGUGAAAGCCCUGAAAUCCACGGACGGAGAGCGAAAGCGUGCGGGUGCACGUAGCGCUCACGCACGGCUCUCUCACGGCGCAGCUAGCGGUAGCGCCGGCCGUUGCGAGACGAGAGAGGACGAGUAAUGGGAGGUGGUUCUGCGCUGUUUUCGUGGCAGUUGAUCGCGGACAGGAACCCCGGCCUUCCAGACGAAUAACGCACGGGAUUUUUGAGUUGAUUGUGAGGAGGAAGAGGAGCGCUGAUGGGUUCUCGUAGAUGUGUUCGUCGUCCUGGCCACGAUCUUCCUCUCUUAAUUGUUUUGAUUCGAUUAAAUCCAUACUGUGGUUCUAUUACGUUAAAGGUUGCCUACAGCUAACACGAAUUUUUCGUGUCGCAGGCUUCCCCUGCGUGGCACUGGUCCAAUCACUAACAAGUUUUUUUUUUCCUUAAAACAUAAUUUGGGAAACGAAUUCCUGUCAUGCUACUCGAAACGAAAAGGAAAGGUUUCGGUCACCAUUCGACGACCUAGAACAAAUAGAAUGAAUGAAUGAUCGCGACGGAACUGCAUGUGCUACUCCCUGUUGCCACAAAUAUGAACUGUGUACGACAUUUAGUUCGGUCGGAAGUCGGAACGCAACCAUGACACUAUUCCUG
RNAcentral lists this long non-coding RNA (32543 nucleotides) under Setaria italica (foxtail millet). RNAcentral's name for it is "long non-coding RNA (SITA_LNC001382)". Lineage: Eukaryota; Viridiplantae; Streptophyta; Magnoliopsida; Poales; Poaceae. The record is from RNAcentral.